RNAcentral lists this ribosomal RNA (1440 nucleotides) under Chryseobacterium ureilyticum. RNAcentral describes it as "bacterial SSU rRNA". It matches the Rfam family "Bacterial small subunit ribosomal RNA". The record is from RNAcentral. Lineage: Bacteria; Pseudomonadati; Bacteroidota; Flavobacteriia; Flavobacteriales; Weeksellaceae.
GAUAAACGCUAGCGGGAGGCCUAACACAUGCAAGCCGAGCGGUAGAGAUUCUUCGGAAUCUUGAGAGCGGCGUACGGGUGCGGAACACGUGUGCAACCUGCCUUUAUCUGGGGGAUAGCCUUUCGAAAGGAAGAUUAAUACCCCAUAAUAUAUUGACUGGCAUCAGUUAAUAUUGAAAACUCCGGUGGAUAGAGAUGGGCACGCGCAAGAUUAGAUAGUUGGUGAGGUAACGGCUCACCAAGUCUACGAUCUUUAGGGGGCCUGAGAGGGUGAUCCCCCACACUGGUACUGAGACACGGACCAGACUCCUACGGGAGGCAGCAGUGAGGAAUAUUGGACAAUGGGUGAGAGCCUGAUCCAGCCAUCCCGCGUGAAGGACGACGGCCCUAUGGGUUGUAAACUUCUUUUGUAUAGGGAUAAACCUACUCUCGUGAGAGUAGCUGAAGGUACUAUACGAAUAAGCACCGGCUAACUCCGUGCCAGCAGCCGCGGUAAUACGAAGGGUGCAAGCGUUAUCCGGAUUUAUUGGGUUUAAAGGGUCCGUAGGCGGAUCUGUAAGUCAGUGGUGAAAUCUCACAGCUUAACUGUGAAACUGCCAUUGAUACUGCAGGUCUUGAGUGUUGUUGAAGUAGCUGGAAUAAGUAGUGUAGCGGUGAAAUGCAUAGAUAUUACUUAGAACACCAAUUGCGAAGGCAGGUUACUAAGCAACAACUGACGCUGAUGGACGAAAGCGUGGGGAGCGAACAGGAUUAGAUACCCUGGUAGUCCACGCCGUAAACGAUGCUAACUCGUUUUUGGGUCUUUAAGAUUCAGAGACUAAGCGAAAGUGAUAAGUUAGCCACCUGGGGAGUACGUUCGCAAGAAUGAAACUCAAAGGAAUUGACGGGGGCCCGCACAAGCGGUGGAUUAUGUGGUUUAAUUCGAUGAUACGCGAGGAACCUUACCAAGGCUUAAAUGGGAAAUGACAGGUUUAGAAAUAGACUUUUCUUCGGACAUUUUUCAAGGUGCUGCAUGGUUGUCGUCAGCUCGUGCCGUGAGGUGUUGGGUUAAGUCCUGCAACGAGCGCAACCCCUGUCACUAGUUGCCAUCAUUAAGUUGGGGACUCUAGUGAGACUGCCUACGCAAGUAGAGAGGAAGGUGGGGAUGACGUCAAAUCAUCACGGCCCUUACGCCUUGGGCCACACACGUAAUACAAUGGCCAGUACAGAGGGCAGCUACACAGCGAUGUGAUGCAAAUCUCGAAAGCUGGUCUCAGUUCGGAUUGGAGUCUGCAACUCGACUCUAUGAAGCUGGAAUCGCUAGUAAUCGCGCAUCAGCCAUGGCGCGGUGAAUACGUUCCCGGGCCUUGUACACACCGCCCGUCAAGCCAUGGAAGUCUGGGGUACCUGAAGUCGGUGACCGUAAUAGGAGCUGCCUAGGGUAAAACAGGUAACUAGGGCU